RNAcentral lists this ribosomal RNA (450 nucleotides) under uncultured Glomeromycotina. RNAcentral describes it as "SSU rRNA". It matches the Rfam family "Eukaryotic small subunit ribosomal RNA", at positions 569 to 1024 of the family's 1831-position model. The record is from RNAcentral. Lineage: Eukaryota; Fungi; Glomeromycota.
AGCAGCCGCGGUAAUUCCAGCUCCAAUAGCGUAUAUUAAAGUUGUUGCAGUUAAAAAGCUCGUAGUUGAAUUUCGGGAUCAAUUUAUUGGUCGUGCUAUUGUACGUACUGGUAUUAUUGAUUUCUACCUUCUGACGAACCAUGAUGUCAUUAAUUUGGUGUCUUGGGGAAUCAGGACUGUUACUUUGAAAAAUUAGAGUGUUUAAAGCAGGCUCACGCUUGAAUACAUUAGCAUGGAAUAACGAAAUAGGACGUUUGAUUCUAUUUUGUUGGUUUCUAGGAUCGACGUAAUGAUUAAUAGGGAUAGUUGGGGGCAUUAGUAUUCAAUUGUCAGAGGUGAAAUUCUUGGAUUUAUUGAAGACUAACUACUGCGAAAGCAUUUGCCAAGGAUGUUUUCAUUAAUACAAGAACGAAAGUUAGGGGAUCGAAGACGAUCAGAUACCGUCGUAGU